UUACUCGACAGUACACAUACUAAAAUUGGAAAGAUACACAGAAGAUUGGCAUGGCCCCUGUGCAAGGAUUCACAGAAUCCCUACAGCGUGGAAACAGGCCCUU
Molecule: small nuclear RNA, 103 nt
Organism: Rhincodon typus (whale shark)
Lineage: Eukaryota; Metazoa; Chordata; Chondrichthyes; Orectolobiformes; Rhincodontidae
Source: RefSeq, a predicted model, not a curated record